GAUGAAGAACGUAGCAAAUGCGAUACUUGGUGUGAAUUGCAGAAUCCCGUGAACCAUCGAGUCUUUGAACGCAAGUUGCGCCCGAAGCCAUUAGGCCGAGGGCACGCCUGCCUGGGCGUCACACGUCGUUGCCCCCCCAUCUACUCCUUCGGGAUUGCGGGGGGCGGAUGAUGGCCUCCCGUGCGCCUCGUCGCGCGGUUGGCAUAAAUGCCAAGUCCUCGGCGACGCACGCCACGACAAUCGGUGGUUGCGAAACCUCGGUUGCCCGUCGUGUGCGGUCGUCGCGCAUCGGGGGCUCGAAAAAAUUGUCGGGCUCCGGCUCGGCUUUCAACGCGACCCCAGGUCAGGCGGGGUUACCCGCUGAAUUUAAGCAUAUCAAUAAGCGGAGGA
RNAcentral lists this unclassified non-coding RNA (390 nucleotides) under soil metagenome. RNAcentral's name for it is "partial contains 5.8S ribosomal RNA, internal transcribed spacer 2, and large subunit ribosomal RNA". The stretch from base 1 to 121 matches the Rfam family "5.8S ribosomal RNA", at positions 35 to 154 of the family's 154-position model. The record is from RNAcentral.